CACACGCAUUCACAAACCUUCACCAUUCUUAUUUCUUUCACUAUCUAGGGUUUCUUUUUUUCACAAAUAAUACGCCGUCGCAGUCUCGCCUAUCAAUCUCCCAUAUUCGAUCUCACCCUUCUUCCACCUUCCAUCUCUGGUCAACGAAGGCUUUCUGUCCGACGGUAAGUUACGGUUCUGAUUUAUUUUAUUUUUUCGAAAAAAAACUACAAUAAAAGUAAGAAAUUGAUGGUAGAUACUUGGCUAAUCUUUGGUUUUUGAGUUUCGAAUCUUCAUCUGGAUACUUUCAAUUUCUGCUUCAUAAGGUUUGAAAGGUGGAAUUGCAGGUUUAAAAGGGAUGGAUGUUUACAAGCGCUUAUGGAUGUUUAUCGUUUUUAUUGAUUAAUUGUCGAACUACUUUUGGAUUUUAUGUCUUGUUUUAAAUGUUUGUGGUUUAUUUUGAAACUUUGAUUUGUUUUGAAUUGGUUACUGAACUGUUUAAAUUUGAAUGUUAUUUGAUGUUUUAGAUGGUU
This is a long non-coding RNA of Helianthus annuus (common sunflower), 512 nucleotides long. RefSeq lists it as uncharacterized. The record is from RefSeq and is a predicted model, not a curated record. NCBI's taxonomy places the organism in Eukaryota, Viridiplantae, Streptophyta, Magnoliopsida, Asterales, Asteraceae. The transcript is spliced from 2 exons.